UGAAGAAGUAAUAAAUCUAGUAUAUUACUUGGAUUCGAAACAUUUUUUGCUUGGGCAUAUAGAAUUCCUCCUCCUCCUCCUCUGCUUGUUCCAGAUCCAUCUACAUAUUAAUGAGUAACGACAAGAGAAAAGGUCUUGUAAAUACUUCUCUUGUUGAUAAUGAAGGUGUUAAGGCAAAAGCUGCAUGGGAUGUGAAAGCCACCAAGAUGUUUGUUAAAUUAUGCUUGGAUCAAGUUUAUAAAGGAGAACGAAAUGGUACUAACCUUACAAAAAAAGGUGGAAAGUUGUUGAAUCUGAAUUCAACAUGAAAAGUGGAAGAAAAUAUGGCAAGAGUCAAUGUAGAAACAAAUGGGAUAAUCUUAAGAAGGAAUGGUCAAUAUGGUACACGUUGUUUGGCAAAGAGACAGGUUUAGGAUAGGAUAAUGUAAGAAAUACAGUAGAUGCUUCAGACGAGUGGUGGGAUAAAAAGCAAAUGGUUAUCAUGUUACUCUACUUGUUGGAGGUGAUGAAGGAGCAAGAAUCCUUUGUUAUCGGUGAUAAGUGUACUAAUUUUGCUGCAUAAGUACAAUUGUUGCUCUGUCUCAUUUUACAGACCUUAAAUAUGAUUUUAAUGAGCUUUAGGUGAUGAUUCAAUUUUCCUUAGGUUAUUAUAUAACUAUACAAGGUGUUCGUCAUGAAACAAAACUAAAAUUUCGUGUU
Cajanus cajan (pigeon pea) is the source of this 699-nucleotide non-coding RNA. NCBI's taxonomy places the organism in Eukaryota, Viridiplantae, Streptophyta, Magnoliopsida, Fabales, Fabaceae. The record is from RefSeq and is a predicted model, not a curated record.